Small nuclear RNA from Tupaia belangeri (northern tree shrew), 98 nucleotides. Lineage: Eukaryota; Metazoa; Chordata; Mammalia; Scandentia; Tupaiidae. The record is from Ensembl.
UUGCUAGUUUACUUCAGCAGCACAUAUACUAAAAUUGGAACCAUACAGGGAAGAUUAGCAUGGCCCCUGCACAAAGAUGACAUGCAUUUCAUACUUUU